Molecule: transfer RNA, 85 nt
Filed under: Alphaproteobacteria bacterium
Lineage: Bacteria; Pseudomonadati; Pseudomonadota; Alphaproteobacteria
Description: tRNA-Leu
Rfam family: tRNA
About the family: Transfer RNA (tRNA) molecules are approximately 80 nucleotides in length. Their secondary structure includes four short double-helical elements and three loops (D, anti-codon, and T loops). Further hydrogen bonds mediate the characteristic L-shaped molecular structure. tRNAs have two regions of fundamental functional importance: the anti-codon, which is responsible for specific mRNA codon recognition, and the 3' end, to which the tRNAs corresponding amino acid is attached (by aminoacyl-tRNA synthetases). tRNAs cope with the degeneracy of the genetic code in two manners: having more than one tRNA (with a specific anti-codon) for a particular amino acid; and 'wobble' base-pairing, i.e. permitting non-standard base-pairing at the 3rd anti-codon position.
Source: RNAcentral
GCGGGUAUGGCGAAAUUGGUAGACGCGCUGGAUUUAGGUUCCAGUGGGGCAACCCAUAGGAGUUCGAGUCUCCUUACCCGCACCA